UUGAGUAAGCACAUUACCACUUCCUCUGGAGGAGUUGGUUGCUGUUCCAGUGGUAUUGCAGUCACUAAAUGUCACAGUGGGUCCAUCAGAGUAUAACUCCGCAAGCUCAUCUUUUUACGGUCUCUGACUCAGCUUUGUGAAUUGCUGGUGUCCCUUUUUGAACGCAGUAGGAAAUUCAGCUGUAUAGUAAAGGACAGGAAUCCACCGGAGAGACCCCGCGUGCACAGCGCCCAAUUAAUCGGUGGCAGCAGGUUCCUGUCAAGGCCAGGGCAGCUCAUACAACUGCUGUGCCUGCUGCCCAGACACCCCUCAGGAACAGGUAUGCAGCCCUGACCCCAUGGAGGAGGAGGCAGAAGAACAGGUCCACAGAGAAAUUGAAGCCGCUUGACCUACAUCACUGGCUCAGAAGAGGCACAUCCCGAGAAGGAGACACAAAGUUCUGGUCUUUGGGGACUCCAUCCUGAGGGGAACCGAUGGUCCAAUCUGUCACUUGGAGCCCUGGUCACAGCAGGUCUGCUGCAUGCCUGGCAAGGAUUUGCAAUGUCACAGAGACAAUCCCUAAAAUCAUAAAGCCCUUUGACUACUACCCACUGGUUGUGGUCCAUGUGAGUACAAAUGAUGCAUGUAAGGGCAAGCCGGAUAACACCAAGGCCUUGGGACACCAACUGAAGAAGGCAGGAGCCCAGGUGGUAUUUUCCUCCAUUCUCCCAAGAGCAAUGACACAUCAUGUACCAGGACAGAUAUGAAUACUGACAUCAGUGGAGAGAGAUCUUUGUUCAUCUGCUCUGAAAACAAGUAUCUUUUUUUUUUAUCCUAUUGCUGGAAAAACAAUUCUGUGCUCCAUUACAUCCAUAGUAUAUGAGGGAAUGGAUUUGGCUUGGAAGUCAAAACCAAGUUUCCACAUGUUGCUCCAAAAGUUGAAAAGACAGAAUAAGUUAAGAGUCCAUCCCAAGUCUAUGCAUGAAUCCCAAAUGGUUUAUCUAUGGUUUCAAUCCCAGAUGUCUGGAGCCUGUCUGGCAAAACUGAGUUGUCACCAGGAUGAAAGAACUGGUAAGGGGAAUGGUUAAUUUCGUUCUCCCUCCAACCCCGACUUAAGGAACAGAAUGAAAAAUAAGUAUAUUAAGGCUUUGUUUUCUCUGAAUGUUAUUCUUCUUUUCUCUGAAGACAAAAAAACACUGCACUCUCAUUCUUUUUUGUAGGAAUAAAGGCCGGACUUUGGGUUCCAGCUCAAAAAUGUCACCCUUUUUCCUUAGUAUUUCAGAAUACUUAUUUUAUCCCUCAUGAUUAUUUCAUUCUAUUGCUGAAAGUGACAGAGCUCAAAGUUGGAAAAAUCUUUUUCAUUAACAUUUUUAUUUUAUGUAAGGUGUUUCACCUGGGGGGAAACAACCCGCAACAUGCUUACAGGCUCGGCAGUACUACACUUACUAGCACCAUAAUAAAAGAGACCUGGGGGUCUUGAUAGACCACAGAACACACAUGAGCCACCAAUGUGAUGCCAUAGCCAGCAAAGCGAACAAAACACUGGCAUGCAUCUACCAAUGCAUCUCAAACAAGACUAAGGAUGUCAUCCUCCCACUUUAUACAGCCUUGGUGAGACCACAGCUGGAGUACUGCAUCCAGUCUGGCCACCGCACUUGAGGAAGGAUGUGAAAAGGCUUGAGAGAGUCCAAAGGAGGGCUACACGUAUGGUUAGAGGUAUGGAGACUAGGCUAUAGGAUGAGGGGCAUGGACAUGGGUCUGUUCAGCCUGAAGAAGAGAAGACUCAGAGGGGACCUGGUGGCAGCCUAUAAGUAUAUAAGAGGCAAACAUCAUGGACUGUGAAAACCAUUCACCAGGGCUCCCCAGGGGACAAUUAGGACUAAUGGUCAUAAAUUGCCAGAAGACCAUUUUAGAUUAGAAAUAAGGAAAAAGUUCUUUACAACUUGAGUGUCCAGGGUCUGGAAUAGAGUCCCCCCAGAAGUGGUACAAUCACCUACUCUGGCUAUCUUCAAAAAGUUUGGAUGCUCACCUUGUUGGGGUCAUCUGACCCCAACAGUCUUUCCUGCCCAAGCACAGGAGGGCUGGAUCUGAUGAUCUUGAGAUGUCCCUUCCAGCCCCUAAUAUCUAUGAAUCUAUGAAUGCCACUUAGUUGUUAUUUUGUUGGACUGUGCUCUCCUAAAGAUUGUAAGUGUGGCAUUUUUCACUCUAGCAUCCAGCUAAAUUGUUAGCAAAAUUUUAAAAUAUAAAAGAGAAAGGUGAGACUGGGAUGUUUUUACAUAACCUCUGCAAGAUUAAAUAUUUUUAUGGCCCUUUUCCUGCUUAAAAAAAAAUUUAAAUCCAAUUUGAAGUUUGUUUUUUUUUAUUAGUGUUAAUGCAUGAAGAUGGUUGCUGUCACCAUUUUAAGACAGCUCUCUAUGCGGUCCAAACUGGUAUGAUGUUCAUUCAGUUUUGCUUUUACUAUUUUGGACUUUGGCAGCCUGGAGGUCACAUUCAGUAUCAAGCAAUACAGAAGAGAUAUCUAUAUUGUUCAUAAUGCUAAGCAAUGGUCCUUUUUGCAUGCUGUAUUAUGUAUUCCUUAACAUAGUGUAGUGAGGGUGGUCGCAGAGAAGAUAUAUAUGACAUUAGAGACUGUUCAUGUUUUAAGAAUUCUACGACUUGACAUCAAGUUUAUUUUUUAAAUAUUAUUAGAAUCAAAAUAGAUGUUACCCAAAAUUAGGGGUUGAUCCAAAGGCUUUGUUAUAAUUUGGAACAUUUUUCAUUGACUUCAUUGGUCUAUGGAGUAAGCAUUAGGUGGCCAUGUAAAUUAGAGAUAGGACGUAAGUUUGAUAUACACCUGACAGGAAUCUGCAUUUUGCUUAUGGAAUAUUAUGUAUGACUUAUUUACUUGUUUCAUCUUGUGUUUUUUGUUACUUGAGCUCCUGGGGUUUUCUUUUCUACAUACAUUUACUGGAGGGAGGACUAUGAUAAAUGGACUAAUUUCCAUACUAUGUACCUGUAUCUGGCACAGGAGACAGAUUACCUGAUGAGGCUAAUCAAGGGAGCCAUCUAACAGAGAGGUCUGGAAAAAGGAAGGUUCUUUUAACUGUAAUUUUAUAGAGUGGUAGAACACUAAAUGCACAGGUCAAGAGACUUGAAGUUCUGUGUGAAGUGAAAAAAGAAAUAAAUUAAGUCUUUACAUGA
Molecule: long non-coding RNA, 3159 nt
Organism: Alligator mississippiensis (American alligator)
Lineage: Eukaryota; Metazoa; Chordata; Crocodylia; Alligatoridae
Exons: 3
Source: RefSeq, a predicted model, not a curated record